UGUUAAGUAUAUUUAAUACGAACUUACUACACUAUGAAGCUUACUGUGUAUUAUUUGUCUAUGUUUUAUAGAGGAUCAAAGUUAACUUGGACUCAGGGAUCAUCGAGAACAUCAUCGCUCUAUCAAACAUCUAAGUUGGUACUUUUGAGAUACGUAUAUGGUAUAUGGCAUGUAUAGGCUAGUUAAGGUACUUUGGUUGUGAAUAUGGCC
Molecule: long non-coding RNA, 210 nt
Filed under: Gossypium barbadense (sea-island cotton)
Lineage: Eukaryota; Viridiplantae; Streptophyta; Magnoliopsida; Malvales; Malvaceae
Description: long non-coding RNA (GBAR_LNC009142)
Source: RNAcentral